RNAcentral lists this ribosomal RNA (253 nucleotides) under uncultured bacterium. Its description in RNAcentral is "partial 16S ribosomal RNA". It matches the Rfam family "Bacterial small subunit ribosomal RNA", at positions 524 to 776 of the family's 1533-position model. The record is from RNAcentral.
UACGGAGGGGGCUAGCGUUGUUCGGAAUUACUGGGCGUAAAGCGCACGUAGGCGGCUUGGUAAGUUAGAGGUGAAAGCCUGGAGCUCAACUCCAGAAUUGCCUUUAAGACUGCCGAGCUAGCAGGUGAGAGAGGUAAGUGGAAUUCCGAGUGUAGAGGUGAAAUUCGUAGAUAUUCGGAAGAACACCAGUGGCGAAGGCGGCUUACUGGCUCAUACUGGACGCUGAGGUGCGAAAGCGUGGGGAGCAAACAGG